UUUGGAAACAUCAUCUAGUAAUCAUUAACGUUAUACGGGCCUGGCACCCUCUAUGGGUAAAUGGCCUCAUUUAAGAAGGACUUAAAUCAUUAAUUUCUCAUACUAGAAUAUUGACGCUCCAUACACUGCAUCUCACAUUUGCCAUAUAGACAAAGUGACUUAGUGCUGAACUGUUUUCUUUUCGCUCGCCGCUACUAAGA
This 200-nucleotide ribosomal RNA is filed under the name Drosophila simulans. RNAcentral's name for it is "28S ribosomal RNA, D1 domain". Lineage: Eukaryota; Metazoa; Arthropoda; Insecta; Diptera; Drosophilidae. The record is from RNAcentral.